Molecule: RNase P RNA, 326 nt
Filed under: Burkholderiales bacterium
Lineage: Bacteria; Pseudomonadati; Pseudomonadota; Betaproteobacteria; Burkholderiales
Description: RNase P RNA component class A
Rfam family: Bacterial RNase P class A
About the family: Ribonuclease P (RNase P) is a ubiquitous endoribonuclease, found in archaea, bacteria and eukarya as well as chloroplasts and mitochondria. Its best characterised activity is the generation of mature 5'-ends of tRNAs by cleaving the 5'-leader elements of precursor-tRNAs. Cellular RNase Ps are ribonucleoproteins.
Source: RNAcentral
GAAGCUGGCCAGACAGCCGCUGAACACCUUAGGGUGCGCAGAGGAAAGUCCGGGCUCCACAGGGCAGGGUGACGGUUAACGGCCGUCCGUUAUAAACCGCAGACGCAAGUCUGCGGCGAAGGCGAGGAACAGGGCCACAGAGACGAGUCUUGGUGUGCAAACAUCAAGGGUGAAACGCGGCAACCUCCACCCGGAGCAACACCAAAUAGGCAAGCGAUGACGCGGCCCGUCGAGCUUGCGGGUAGGUGGCUUGAGCCUUGGAGUAAUCCAAGGCCUAGAGGAAUGGCUGUCCACGACAGAACCCGGCUUAUCGGCCAGCUUCAUUU